Molecule: long non-coding RNA, 1038 nt
Organism: Cyprinodon tularosa
Lineage: Eukaryota; Metazoa; Chordata; Actinopteri; Cyprinodontiformes; Cyprinodontidae
Exons: 2
Source: RefSeq, a predicted model, not a curated record
CCACACAAAUACAAAAAUCUUAAUUCCAUCCAUAUCUUAAGGAAUAAAAAAUAUCUUUUAAGGGGUUUUGGUUCUGUGCUAAUGUUAUGUUUGCCUGUCAAAGGUUAAGGUGCUUGCUUUUAAUUAGUGGACAAAAAGCAAGACUAAAAAUAGACUGGAAUUAGAGAAAAAUCAAUAACUUUCUUACAAUCCGAAAAUUAGAACAAUGCUUUGACCUCUGUAAGAGCCUUCAGUGUUUCUAAAGAUGAGAUCAAUGCUUUUGAAAGAUCUGGUCUGGUGGGCUAGAUCGUUUAAACAAAUAUAGUGAAAGAAUAAACUGGACUUUUACCUGAGGUAGGAUCUGGUUUUUUAGUUCAUCAUGGGAAAAGAACUCUGCGUAAAUGUCGAUGUGAGCCAAGAGCACAACCCGAAUAUGCUCUUCUUUCACUUUAUAGAGUUUAAGCAGCAGAGGAAUCACAUGUUUCCGGUGAAGGGACACAGACAACAGGCAGCUCUCACCACUGUCACCACAGCUGGACUCUGUGCACACAGAUGAGGGAGGAAGCUCUUGACGGCCAUGGGUUCAGCAAAAACAAGAGAAUGGAGAAGUUUGGGAACUAGACGUGAAGCUAUCAGCUCUUCGGAAAGGUUCUGGACACGGUCGAGGAGAAACCUAACAUUAAAACAGAAAAUGUCAAACUACUAAGUAGAGUCAAGUGUUCAAAUUUGCAAUGCCUUGUUUAACUUAUUCAAACUUAUUGACAAUGGUGAAAUUACAACAACAAACCUGAAGACAUUUUACAGGGUUUUAAGUGAUGAAGGAAGAUUGAACAUAAUAAAAAUAUGGUCUUUAUUUUUAUACCACUAAAAUAAAAUUCACUAUCCUUAGAAAUAAACAAACACUAGAGUCCACCAGAGUAUAAUUUAUCCUCAGUGCAAAUGUGGUUCUGUGAAGGAGUCGCAAAUGGAGAACCCUGAUAGGUCAGGGAUGGAGCUUUGGAGAAGUUAAAAACUGAGACAAGAAGAAAGCCAAUUUGAAAAGAAAAGAAAAAAACAAAC